CCCUGCCAUUUGUACACACCGCCCGUCGCACCUACCGAUUGGAUGGUCCGGUGAAGCCUCGGGAUUGUGGCUGUUGCCUUUACUGGUGGCGGCUGCGAGAACUUGUCUGAACCUUAUCAUCUAGAGGA
This 128-nucleotide ribosomal RNA is filed under the name uncultured eukaryote. Its description in RNAcentral is "partial small subunit ribosomal RNA". It matches the Rfam family "Eukaryotic small subunit ribosomal RNA", at positions 1651 to 1780 of the family's 1831-position model. The record is from RNAcentral.